CCUACGGGUGGCAGCAGUGGGGAAUAUUGCACAAUGGCGGAAACCCUGAUGCAGCGACGCCGCGUGAGUGAAGAAGUACUUCGGUACGUAAAGCUCUAUCAGCAGGGAAGAAAAUGACGGUACCUGUCUAUGAUGCCCCGGCUAUCUACGUGCCAGCAGCCGCGGUAAUACGCAGGGGGCAAGCGUUAUCCGGAUUUACUGGGUGUAAAGGGAGCGUAGAGGGCAGCGUAAGUCUGAAGUGAAAUCCUAUGGCUUAACCAUGGAACUGCUUUGGAAACUGUGCAGCUGGAGUGCAGGAGAGGUAAGCGGAAUGCCUGGUGUAGCGGUGAAAUGCGUAGAUAUUAGGAAGAACACCGAUGGCGAAGGCAGCUUACUAAACUGUAACUGACGUUGAGGCUCGAAAGCGUGGGGAGCAAACAGGAUUAGAUACCCCAGUAGUC
This 440-nucleotide ribosomal RNA is filed under the name uncultured bacterium. Its description in RNAcentral is "partial 16S ribosomal RNA". It matches the Rfam family "Bacterial small subunit ribosomal RNA", at positions 338 to 795 of the family's 1533-position model. The record is from RNAcentral.